RNAcentral lists this transfer-messenger RNA (400 nucleotides) under bovine gut metagenome. It matches the Rfam family "transfer-messenger RNA". From Rfam's summary of the family: Bacterial tmRNA, also known as 10Sa RNA or SsrA, is named for its dual tRNA and mRNA-like properties. Its role is to liberate the mRNA from a stalled ribosome. The record is from RNAcentral.
GGGAGUGAAAGGGUUCGACAGGGGUAAUGGAGAUAAUAAUGCAAGCCGAGUUUUGUCAAAUCUUGUAAAAUUGGCAAUUAAAAUUAACUGACAAGAAGUUAAAAGUUUUUGAACCAAUUGCAGUACAGUUUAAACAACCUGUUAUGCCAUUGGCUUUUGCUGCGUAAUUAAUUAGUAGCACAUCUGGUAAUAUUUUUAGCUUUUAGGGUAUUGUUGGGUGUAAAAUAUAAAAGCAAAUGUUUUAUUUUUGGCAAUAGGGAUAAAGCAUUAUUUUUUAUUGUCCGGUUAAAAAGUUUAAUGAAAAUAGAAAAUUUUUUAACUGUAAAAAUCUAUUUUCUAAGCUUGUAGAAAUUAUUAUUAAAAUGCUUUUGGACGCGAGUUCAAAUCUCGCCACUUCCAU